UGCAGAUUUGCUUUAUCUCCCGGGGCAGAAAUUAGCCAGAACUCCGACAUGAUCUAAUCUUUCCCUUCGCUCCUGGACACUGUAGAAACACAAGGCAGAAACACCAGGAGAGUGAGUCAGUCCUGCGUCUCAGGCUGAAAUGGAACAUGACCUUCUCCAGAAUGUCACGGAAAGAGUGUGGCCGUUCGUCCUUUCUCAGGGUUGUUCCAUCCAGUUUCUGAACGAAGAAACGAAGCUUCCUCCUCCCCUUUUCCCUCCCAGCCUCUUCCAUUCGCCUUGCGCUGUAAGUCCAGUUCCAUUGCGGAGUUUGGGGACUUCACUAAACCAUCCAAGCGUAAUUAAGGAUUUCUGUUUGAUAAAUAUCGUCACUCAGAUUUUUGGGCACUUGUAGGCAAAAGUGAAAGCAAGAUGUAAAAAGCCCUCUGCUGAACACGCAGGCUGCAAAGGAUGCCACAGGCAUGAUGGAAUAUUGCUUUCCCCUGUGUUUUUCUUCCCAGGUUGGAUAGGAAGGAGCCGGAGGAAGGCAAGUCGCGGUGCAGAGAGACGGUGAUCAGCAGAACAACAUAGACACAACAGUCGCGAUAAUCCACGCGGGACAACCACACCGGCGUUAGCCGGACAGAGCGGGGCAAGACAGCGAGAAGCAGAAACCGCGCAGCAAUCUCCCGAGGCUCUCCCCGGAGCCUCCCCCGCCCGGCACGCCUUUGCUCUCAGGCUGGAUGAAGCAGCAGUGAAGGUGGAGGAAGGAAGGAGCCUGCAGCACGACAUGCCAUGGGAUAUGGAGAGUCUGCUGCACACUCUGGUGGUAACACAGCUAUGACAGCUCCUGUCUCCCCUGCCAUUUCCCUGGCUGGUCCUGCGUGUGGUGCCAUGUGAUCUCAAAGCUCUCUAAUUCCCUCAUGAUCAUGAUGUGUCUUUCUGCUCCCUUUGAUCCAUCAGUGCAAUGAACCUUUCCAUGAUUUUGCCUCUCUCUAUGAGUACUUCUUCAGAUGUCACACUAAGGAGCAAAACUCUGCCUCCAAACAGUCAUUAAGAGUACUGAAAUAUCCUACCUGAAGUAUCUCCCAAGGCAAAUUAGUCUAACAGAUAACCAAAAUUAAUUACCUAGACAAUUAUGACAUUGAUACUAAUGGGAAAGCUUAUGUUUUAAGCUUGCAAAACAGGAACCACAGAGCUGUAGUUCUCUAUAAAACAAUUUAUACAUCUAUUACAGGGAUUACCUGUUUAGUCUUCUAGUAAUGUGGUGGUGGGGGGUUCCCUCUGCUUAGAAAGGAUCUUUUAAAUCCUAUUUCCUAUUCCUGUGUGUUUUAUUAUUACUGUAGCAAUGUAUUAAAAAUUAUUGUCUAAAAUAUUUUGAUGAAGGAACUCUUAAAUAACUUGAUAAUGGAUAAUAAAAUUUUAUUUAAAUGAAAACAUUUUUUCUGUGUUCUUUUAGAGACUAGUGUGCAAACUACUUCUUUAUCAUAAUUCCUUAGCUGUGUAUCUAUUUCUUAAUUAUGUUAAAGAAUAUUGGUUAUUCACUCGCUCUGUACUGUGAAGUGCAGCAGAACCUUCCUGAUGAACUGCUUUUAUACACUGAAUGUGAAAUGCUGUUUCAAUGUGAAUGUACCUGACAACUCAUACCUAACAUAAUGAAAUGUAUGUCCGUACUGAAGGGGCACUGUCUCGUUGUCAUUAAAAUCAGUAAAGGUAA
Harpia harpyja (harpy eagle) is the source of this 1693-nucleotide long non-coding RNA. RefSeq lists it as uncharacterized. The transcript is spliced from 3 exons. Lineage: Eukaryota; Metazoa; Chordata; Aves; Accipitriformes; Accipitridae. The record is from RefSeq and is a predicted model, not a curated record.